Long non-coding RNA from Cicer arietinum (chickpea), 1048 nucleotides. RefSeq lists it as uncharacterized. The record is from RefSeq and is a predicted model, not a curated record. Lineage: Eukaryota; Viridiplantae; Streptophyta; Magnoliopsida; Fabales; Fabaceae.
GGCUAACUUUUAUGCAAUCAGCCCCUAAUUCAAGUUAUUAGACUUCUUUCCCCAUACAAUUUGGUUUGUUUUAUGUAGAAUUUUAUUUUGAAGAAGUUCAAUGAUUUAUAAGCUCUCAACAAAGGAGUUAUACGCUUUAAGCAUGAUGUUACAAGCUUUCUGCAAGAAGUUAUAAACAACACGUUACAAACUUUAUGUAUGAAGUUACAAGCUUCCAGUGAAGUUAUAAACUGUCAUUAAGGAGUUACAAGUUUUCUGCACAAAUUUACAAAAUCUCAUAAGAAGUUACAACAUUGAACAAAAUUAAGGCCUAUACUUGAAAUAAACUCCUUUGAGUUUGCACGACCAUGUAAACUCCUUUGAGUUUGCACGACCAUGCAAGAUAUUAUGUAGGAUCGUUCAAACGCAAGCGAGAAUCUUCACCGUGCCUAAAUUAUGUAGGUCCGUGCAAGCCAUGUAUGUAGGGUUUUGCAGGAGUGCGGGAAUGCAACCAUGUUUAGGGUUUCACUAUAAAAAGAAAGGACAAACCUUGGAAAACAAUCCCUAGACUACUACUAUGAAUUUGGGCACCUUUGAAUCUCUUUUUGGACAUCCAAACACUUGUGGAGAUAAUUUAACGGUCCAAAUUUUAAUCCACUGCGUUACCUAACUAUGUUGAUUUUUUGGAGAAAGUUUCUUGCCUGGAGCAACACUUGAGACGGAGAUUUGGAGUUAAACGUUGAAGAAUCUGAAGAAAAAAAAAAAGAAUGAUCAAGGAACAAAACACAUUGGAGGGUAUUAUAGUGCAAAUGGAAUCAUCAUGUAUAUGGAACGCUUAUAAAAAGAAUCAAGUUUAUGUAACAAAACACUGGCCAAUAGUUUUAAAGUGUAAGUUGCUUAUGUAUCCAUUUUUCAUUGGUUAAAUAUUCUAAGGGGACCACAAUUGAAGCAAUAAGUCCUGGAUUGAGCUAGUGUCUAUUUUUGAGGUCCCAUGACAAGAUAGCAACUUUGUACAAAUACAUUUUUUGACAAAAGUUUGUAAAAAUACAUGGUACCCAAAUUUUAGAAA